GAUGAACGCUGGCGGCGUGCCUAAUACAUGCAAGUCGAGCGAAGCGGGGACGGGUGAGUAACACGUGGAUAACCUCCUAUAAGACUGGGUUAACUUCCGGAAACCGGUGCUAAACCGGAAACUUAUAGAUGGAUCCGUGCUGCAUUAGCUAGUUGGUAAGGUAACGGCUUACAAAGGCAACGAUGCAUAGCCGACCUGAGAGGGUGAUCUGACACACUGAAACGGAGACACGGGCCAGACGCCUACGGGAGGCAGCAGUAGGGAAGCUUCCACAAUGGGCGAAAGCCUGACGGAGCAACGCCGCGUGAGUGAUGAAGGUCUUCGGAUCGUAAAGCGCUGUUAUUAGGGAAGCGGUACCGAAUCAGAAAGCCACGGCUAACUACGUGCCAGCAGCCGCGGUAAUAC
RNAcentral lists this ribosomal RNA (405 nucleotides) under uncultured bacterium. Its description in RNAcentral is "partial 16S ribosomal RNA". It matches the Rfam family "Bacterial small subunit ribosomal RNA", at positions 28 to 526 of the family's 1533-position model. The record is from RNAcentral.